UGGGGAAUUUUGGACAAUGGGCGAAAGCCUGAUCCAGCCAUUCCGCGUGCAGGAUGAAGGCCCUCGGGUUGUAAACUGCUUUUGUACAGAACGAAAAGGUUUCUAUUAAUACUAGGAGCUCAUGACGGUACUGUAAGAAUAAGCACCGGCUAACUACGUGCCAGCAGCCGCGGUAAUACGUAGGGUGCAAGCGUUAAUCGGAAUUACUGGGCGUAAAGCGUGCGCAGGCGGUUAUAUAAGUCAGAUGUGAAAUCCCCGGGCUCAACCUGGGAACUGCAUUUGAGACUGUAUAGCUAGAGUACGGUAGAGGGGGAUGGAAUUCCGCGUGUAGCAGUGAAAUGCGUAGAUAUGCGGAGGAACACCGAUGGCGAAGGCAAUCCCCUGGACCUGUACUGACGCUCAUGCACGAAAGCGUGGGGAGCAAACAGGAUUAGAUACCCUGGUAGUCCACGCCCUAAACGAUGUCAACUGGUUGUUGGGUCUUAACUGACUCAGUAACGAAGCUAACGCGUGAAGUUGACCGCCUGGGGAGUACGGCCGCAAGGUUG
RNAcentral lists this ribosomal RNA (548 nucleotides) under uncultured prokaryote. RNAcentral's name for it is "bacterial SSU rRNA". It matches the Rfam family "Bacterial small subunit ribosomal RNA", at positions 355 to 896 of the family's 1533-position model. The record is from RNAcentral.